AUGACCACCAGAUUAGUGGACACGCAAAAUGCAAGGGCACCCUCUCACUAUGUUCACAUUAGCAGAGGUGCAUUGUGCGGUGCAGCGAAUGACAAGAGAGGAGAAGAGCAAGCUUGCGAGGCGGCGACCGUGGGGGAAUCGACUAGAUCCGCCGCGUGCCCAUCUGGAGGACGGGAACACGGUGACGAGGGCUGGUUCGGUGCGCACCUCCGCCACCGAGCCUCGCAUCGCCGACCACUAUCCCCUCCUCUCACAUGCCGCCACUAUCAAGAUAUAUCGGUGUGCCCCUCCUCACCGUCAAGCCGCAGGUCAGGUUCUUCCACAGAAACCCCCUCCCUGUGCUCCCUCUUUCUAGCCCGUGUCGCCUCUCCGACUCCUUCCUCCUUCCUUGUCGUCGCUCCCUCUCUUCACCAUAGCCGCUGCCGCUCCCCCUCCUAUGUUGAUCUUGGUCGUACCCAUCGCCGUGAAGAACGAGGGUUGUCGCUCCUGCAACUGCUCAACCCGGAGAAGCUCAUCGUCAUAAUCGCCAGACCGUCUUCCUCACAUCGUCCAAGCUAUUCUUGUAUAGCCGAAAAUUGCUCUGACCCAACGAUCCCCUUCCCCAUGCUAUUUUUUGAAAUAUUUUUGGCUGAUGAUGUGCCACAACUUCGCAAGGAAAGCAUACUUCAAGAACAAAGUGCUCAAUGUGAUAUGGACAUCCAGUCACUCUUGAGUGAUAUGACAGAAGUUACCAAUUCAUCUUGCUCUGGAGAUGGUGGACAAUCGAUCACUAAGAGAAAGAAAUUGAGGGAGGCACUCCUCCGACAAUGCAAGAUACUUCCAAGAUACACAGUAUUACCUUCAGUAUCAGAUGGAAUGUACCACGCCAGUGUACGUUUGAGAUGCCCUGAUUUUGAGAUGAGCCUCACUGGUGGUCUUCGUCCUACCCCACACAAGGCGAAGUGCUCGGCAGUUGCCAAUAUGAUAUUGGAGCUUCACAAGAAGGCGGAAGAGCAAGAACAGUAG
RNAcentral lists this ribosomal RNA (1005 nucleotides) under Triticum aestivum (bread wheat). Its description in RNAcentral is "partial small subunit ribosomal RNA". Lineage: Eukaryota; Viridiplantae; Streptophyta; Magnoliopsida; Poales; Poaceae. The record is from RNAcentral.